Halichondria panicea is the source of this 1237-nucleotide long non-coding RNA. RefSeq lists it as uncharacterized. The transcript has 4 exons. The record is from RefSeq and is a predicted model, not a curated record. NCBI's taxonomy places the organism in Eukaryota, Metazoa, Porifera, Demospongiae, Suberitida, Halichondriidae.
UUGUUAUAUAUAUGUCCUGCUUCCUUCGAGUUUAGUGUUGUACUGAUCUCUUCUCUUUUUUGUCUUGUGCCGGCUCUUGAGAACCUUUUUGUAUACCGCCGCUUCCCAUUCUUCGUUUCAGUUUCAACUUGCGUGCAAUGUGACGUGGGUCUUUAGAUACAGCUAAACUGACUCACAUGUCCCCAGGUUGCCAUCGUAUAAUUUGAGAAGCCAUAAGUUAAAUUCAAUUUCUGAAGCUUAUAAAGGUGAAUGAAGUAUGAAGUGUGACGUAUUGAUUUGAGGCGACCUGGGGACAUGUGAGUCAGUUUAGCAAUGUGUAUACAACACAACACUGUCGUACCUGUAGAAGCAUUUCACACACAUUAAGGUCAUGUGCCCCUCUCCCCCUAAGCAUGCAGUCAUUGAUCAAGCUGGCAAGCAGGUCAUGGAAUGGUUAUUUGCCUGUUGCACCCUACCAUUUAGCAAUCAGAGAUAAUAAAUGCCUGUGUUUUGCAUGACCCUGUACCUGUUUUGGUAAAGGAGCGCCAAUAAAAUGCAGUCUAGACAAUAAAAGCUAGCUGUGCUUUUGUGAGUUGUGAAUCCAGGCUAAGGCUGCCAUAUUAAUGGGGAGAAGCAUGAGGUCACUGACACACACCGUCUUCACUCUGAGAGAAAGAGGCGAAGAGGCAGGAAGGCUUCCUAGUGAGGACCUCUGGAAUCACUAACACCAUACCAAGGAUGAAGAUUUGCGGAAAGUGAUCCAGUUCCAAAUGGCUGGUUGGAGCCAGGAUGGAGUGUGUGUCAACCCGGUGGCCCUCAUGAAAGUGCUGGAUAAACUAAUGAUAGCUCAGAGGAGAACCGGAGACAAACCCAUUAUCGUGCAUGGAAGGUUCGGAGAUCAACACCGUGGGCAGGUGUGCCGUGUUCUGUGCCCUGCUCAACUGCAUUGACUCUUAAGAGCAAAUGUGAGAGCGUUGUCGAUGUGUUCCAGGCUACAAAAACCGGGAGCCAUACAAACUGUGGAGCAGUACUGCUGUGUGUACGACCUCAUAUCUCUUUAUCUCAGCUCAUUCUCACACUCUACUCAAACUUCAAGUGAACAAAUAACGAACUCAGUCAGUCAAACAUUCUCAAUGUACUCAUUUAAUCAUUACACGCUAUUGUUAUAGUCACCCACUCAACAACAGGCUCUAUAAGUUUUAUACGCUGCUGUGUACGUUUAUUGCCCGUAAUUGUCAGUUGUAUUUGCCCGAUAUGG